AGUUAAAAUUUUCAUCCAUUUUUACUGUUAAAAAAUUGCAUGACUGACGAAAUAACCAAAUAGUUACAUAUGGCAUGUCACAUGUACCUCAUGUCGACGUACAAAGACUAAUUUUUUAACAAUAGAAAUGGAUGAAAUUUUAAAUG
Molecule: non-coding RNA, 146 nt
Organism: Gossypium hirsutum (cotton)
Lineage: Eukaryota; Viridiplantae; Streptophyta; Magnoliopsida; Malvales; Malvaceae
Source: Rfam